Molecule: non-coding RNA, 31 nt
Filed under: Mus musculus (house mouse)
Lineage: Eukaryota; Metazoa; Chordata; Mammalia; Rodentia; Muridae
Source: RNAcentral
CUAUACAAUUCUCAGGAGACCAUAUAACACU